RNAcentral lists this ribosomal RNA (1189 nucleotides) under metagenome. Its description in RNAcentral is "bacterial SSU rRNA". It matches the Rfam family "Eukaryotic small subunit ribosomal RNA", at positions 636 to 1790 of the family's 1831-position model. The record is from RNAcentral.
GUUCUGCUUGGCCUUGCUAUUACAUCAUUGAAAGUCGCUUCUUUGUGGCUUUGUCUAUUUCAAACCUCUGGUCUGCAUUUUGAUUUUGUGGAAAGCCGCCGGCUGUUCUUUACUGAGUGGUCGGAUUUUUCGGAGUUCCACACGUUUACUUUGAGUAAAUUAGAGUGUUCAAAGCAGGCUUAUGCCGUGAAUACGUUAGCAUGGAAUAAUGGAACAGGACUUUGGUCAUGUUUUGUUGGUUUUGAGGACCGAAGUAAUGAUUAAUAGGGAUAGUUGGGGGCAUUCGUAUUUCAUUGUCAGAGGUGAAAUUCUUGGAUUUAUGAAAGACGAACUAAUGCGAAAGCAUCUGCCAAGGAUGUUUUCAUUAACCAAGAACGAAAGUUAGGGGAUCGAAGACGAUCAGAUACCGUCGUAGUCUUAACCAUAAACGAUGCCGACCAGGGAUCGGGCGAUGUUUAUUCAUAUGACUCGCUCGGCACCAUUGGAGAAAUCAGAGUCUUUGGGUUCCGGGGGGAGUAUGGUCGCAAGGCUGAAACUUAAAGGAAUUGACGGAAGGGCACCACCAGGAGUGGAGCCUGCGGCUUAAUUUGACCCAACACGGGGAAACUCACCAGGUCCAGACAUAGGAAGGAUUGACAGAUUGAGAGCUCUUUCUUGAUUCUAUGGGUGGUGGUGCAUGGCCGUUCUUAGUUGGUGGAGUGAUUUGUCUGGUUAAUUCCGAUAACGAACGAGACCUCAGCCUGCUAAAUAGCUACGCUCAUAUUCACCUCUUUUGGCUUGCCUUAAGAGUUGAUGGGCGGUAAUGCUUCUUAGAGUGACUAUCGGUGACUAACCGAUGGAAGUUUGAGGCAAUAACAGGUCUGUGAUGCCCUUAGAUGUCCUGGGCCGCACGCGCGCUACACUGACGAAGUCACCGGGUUUAUAACCUUGGCCGACAGGUCUGGGUAAUCCUUUUAAACUUCGUCGUGAUGGGGAUUGACUAUUGCAAUUAUUAGUCAUGAACGAGGAAUUCCUAGUAAGCGUGAGUCAUCAGCUUGCGCUGAUUACGUCCCUGCCCUUUGUACACACCGCCCGUCGCUCCUACCGAUUGGAUGCUCCGGUAAGAUUUCCGGAUUGGGAACAUUAUGUUUAACCACAUUUUGUUUCUGAGAAGUUACUCAAACCUUAGCAUCUGGAGGAAGGAGAAGUC